GACGAACGCUGGCGGCGUGCCUAAUACAUGCAAGUAGAACGCACAGUUUAUACCGUAGCUUGCUACACCAUAGACUGUGAGUUGCGAACGGGUGAGUAACGCGUAGGUAACCUGCCUGGUAGCGGGGGAUAACUAUUGGAAACGAUAGCUAAUACCGCAUAAUAUUAAUUAUUGCAUGAUAAUUGAUUGAAAGGUGCAAAUGCAUCACUACCAGAUGGACCUGCGUUGUAUUAGCUAGUAGGUGAGGUAACGGCUCACCUAGGCGACGAUACAUAGCCGACCUGAGAGGGUGAUCGGCCACACUGGGACUGAGACACGGCCCAGACUCCUACGGGAGGCAGCAGUAGGGAAUCUUCGGCAAUGGACGAAAGUCUGACCGAGCAACGCCGCGUGAGUGAAGAAGGUUUUCGGAUCGUAAAGCUCUGUUGUAAGAGAAGAACGGGUGUGAGAGUGGAAAGUUCACACUGUGACGGUAUCUUACCAGAAAGGGACGGCUAACUACGUGCCAGCAGCCGCGGUAAUACGUAGGUCCCGAGCGUUGUCCGGAUUUAUUGGGCGUAAAGCGAGCGCAGGCGGUUAGAUAAGUCUGAAGUUAAAAGGCUGUGGCUUAACCAUAGUACGCUUUGGAAACUGUUUAACUUGAGUGCAGAAGGGGGAGAGUGGAAUUCCUGUGUAGCGGUGAAAGCCUUAUAUAUGGAGGGAACACCGGUGGUCAAAACCCG
This 722-nucleotide ribosomal RNA is filed under the name uncultured Streptococcus sp. RNAcentral's name for it is "bacterial SSU rRNA". It matches the Rfam family "Bacterial small subunit ribosomal RNA", at positions 28 to 725 of the family's 1533-position model. The record is from RNAcentral. Lineage: Bacteria; Bacillati; Bacillota; Bacilli; Lactobacillales; Streptococcaceae.